This is a long non-coding RNA of Scophthalmus maximus (turbot), 500 nucleotides long. RefSeq lists it as uncharacterized. The transcript has 3 exons. Lineage: Eukaryota; Metazoa; Chordata; Actinopteri; Pleuronectiformes; Scophthalmidae. The record is from RefSeq and is a predicted model, not a curated record.
UGGCAACUUGAUAUAAGACUAAGUUAUAACCUCAGCUUCAUUUGUGCCGGAAACCAGAGUUCAUCCACUGGGCUUUAAUUUAACCUGGUCUGUAAAGCUUCCAACACUGCACCAGAGAGGGCCGACAGCAAAACACGUUGUCAGUUGAAUAACUGGAGCUGAACCAUGUUUUCUGGGAGUCUGGUGGUGGUACUGCUUGUCCUCCUCCUGUGUCGCCGCGUCCUGUGGCACGGACUAAUCAUCGUCAUUGGCCAGAAAUGGUUCUCGAGGUCAGCGAGGACGGGUGGAGUUGCCAACCGGAGGCUGAGAUGUGAAAAAAUUAAGAACUAAUAUGAGCCUUCUGUAUUUCAUCUGUUGUUGAAAACACCAGGGAGCCCUGCAGACUUUAGAAAAGAAUCACAAACAUCUCUGUAAGGAUGAUUCGUUUACCAACGGCGAUGUCAACAUGAGUUUGUUGAUACUGUAUUCUUAAACCUUCUAAUAAACACAGAAAUGUUGAA